RNAcentral lists this ribosomal RNA (457 nucleotides) under uncultured Methanolinea sp. RNAcentral's name for it is "bacterial SSU rRNA". It matches the Rfam family "Archaeal small subunit ribosomal RNA", at positions 883 to 1338 of the family's 1478-position model. Lineage: Archaea; Methanobacteriati; Methanobacteriota; Methanomicrobia; Methanomicrobiales; Methanoregulaceae. The record is from RNAcentral.
AACGGGUGGAGCCUGCGGUUUAAUUGGACUCAACGCCCGGGCAGCUCACCGGAUAAGACAGCUGGAUGAUAGCCGGGCUGAAGACUCUGCUUGACUAGCUGAGAGGAGGUGCAUGGCCGUCGUCAGUUCGUACUGUGAAGCAUCCUGUUAAGUCAGGCAACGAGCGAGACCCACGCCAACAGUUGCCAGCAUGUCCUCCGGGAUGAUGGGGACACUGUUGGGACCGCCUCUGCUAAAGAGGAGGAAGGAAUGGGCAACGGUAGGUCAGCAUGCCCCGAAUUAUCCGGGCUACACGCGGGCUACAAUGGUCAGGACAAUGGGUAUCGACACCGAGAGGUGGAGGCAAUCUCCUAAACCUGUCCUUAGUUCGGAUUGUGGGCUGCAACUCGCCCACAUGAAGCCGGAAUCGCUAGUAAUCGUGGAUCAGCAUGUCACGGUGAAUACGUUCCCGGGUCUU